Molecule: ribosomal RNA, 253 nt
Filed under: uncultured bacterium
Lineage: Bacteria
Description: partial 16S ribosomal RNA
Rfam family: Bacterial small subunit ribosomal RNA
Source: RNAcentral
UACAGAGGUCUCGAGCGUUAGGCGGAAUCACUGGGCUUAAAGCGUGUGUAGGUGGAUCGUUAAGUCCCUUGCGAAAUCCCACGGCUUAACCGUGGAACUGCUUGGUAUACUGGCGGUCUUGAGCCAGCUAGGGGCUACCGGAACAAAUGGUGGAGCGGUGAAAUGCGUAGAUAUCAUUUGGAACGCCAAUGGUGAAAACAGGUAGCUGGGGCUGUGCUGACACUGAGACACGAAAGCCAGGGGAGCAAACGGG